Molecule: ribosomal RNA, 739 nt
Filed under: uncultured bacterium
Lineage: Bacteria
Description: bacterial SSU rRNA
Rfam family: Bacterial small subunit ribosomal RNA
Source: RNAcentral
CUAUAAUGCAGUCGAGCGAGCCGAACUAAUUGAUUACCUUCGGGUAUGAAGUUAGGGAAGCGAGCGGCGGAUGGGUGAGUAACACGUGGGUAACCUACCCUAUAGUCUGGGAUACCACUUGGAAACAGGUGCUAAUACCGGAUAAAAGGAGAGAUCACAUGAUUUCUUUUUGAAAGGCGGCGUAAGCUGUCGCUAAAGGAUGGACCCGCGGUGCAUUAGCUAGUUGGUAAGGUAACGGCUUACCAAGGCAACGAUGCGUAGCCGAGUUGAGAGACUGAUCGGCCACAUUGGGACUGAGACACGGCCCAAACUCCUACGGGAGGCAGCAGUAGGGAAUCUUCCACAAUGGACGCAAGUCUGAUGGAGCAACGCCGCGUGAGUGAAGAAGGUUUUCGGAUCGUAAAGCUCUGUUGUUGGUGAAGAAAGAUAGUGAGAGUAACUGCUCAUUAUUUGCCGGUAAUCAACCAGAAAGUCACGGCUAACUACGUGCCAGCAGCCGCGGUAAUACGUAGGUGGCAAGCGUUGUCCGGAUUUAUUGGGCGUAAAGCGAGCGCAGGCGGAAAGAUAAGUCAGAUGUGAAAGCCCUCGGCUUAACCGAGGAAUAGCAUCGGAAACUGUCUUUCUUGAGUGCAGAAGAGGAGAGUGGAAUUCCAUGUGUAGCGGUGGAAUGCGUAGAUAUAUGGAAGAACACCAGUGGCGAAGGCGGCUCUCUGGUCUGUAACUGACGCUGAGGCUCGAA